Molecule: ribosomal RNA, 700 nt
Filed under: uncultured bacterium
Lineage: Bacteria
Description: bacterial SSU rRNA
Rfam family: Bacterial small subunit ribosomal RNA
Source: RNAcentral
AGAGUUUGAUCAUGGCUCAGAUUGAACGCUGGCGGAAUGCUUUACACAUGCAAGUCGAACGAUGAACCUUAGCUUGCUAAGGGGAUUAGUGGCGAACGGGUGAGUAAUAUAUCGGAACGUGCCUUGUAAUGGGGGAUAACUAGUCGAAAGAUUAGCUAAUACCGCAUACGCCCUGAGGGGGAAAGUAGGGGAUCUUCGGACCUUACGUUAUAAGAGCGGCCGAUAUCUGAUUAGCUAGUUGGUGGGGUAAUGGCCUACCAAGGCUUCGAUCAGUAGCUGGUCUGAGAGGACGACCAGCCACACUGGAACUGAGACACGGUCCAGACUCCUACGGGAGGCAGCAGUGGGGAAUUUCGGACAAUGGGCGCAAGCCUGAUCCAGCCAUUCCGCGUGAGUGAAGAAGGCCUUCGGGUUGUAAAGCUCUUUCGCAAGGGAAGAAAACUUACACAAUAACACUGUGUGAGGCUGACGGUACCUUGAUAAGAAGCACCGGCUAACUACGUGCCAGCAGCCGCGGUAAUACGUAGGGUGCGAGCGUUAAUCGGAAUUACUGGGCGUAAAGCGUGCGCAGGCGGUUUGGCAAGUCAGAUGUGAAAUCCCCGAGCUCAACUUGGGAACUGCGUUUGAAACUGCCAGACUAGAAUAUGUCAGAGGGGGGUAGAAUUCCACGUGUAGCAGUGAAAUGCGUAGAGAUGUGGAG